This is a non-coding RNA of Equus caballus (horse), 677 nucleotides long. The record is from RefSeq and is a predicted model, not a curated record. NCBI's taxonomy places the organism in Eukaryota, Metazoa, Chordata, Mammalia, Perissodactyla, Equidae.
GACAGCCAGUCUGAAGGGUCAGAGGGUGGAACCACUGGCCAGGGCUCCUCACCCUGGCAGGGGAUCAGGAAGGUUUUCUGAAAGUCCUUGGAAUUAACUUCAUCACAACUACACAGAGAAACCACUCAAGUUUCUUCAGAUGGAGUUUCUGGGGUAUAAACCAUCCAAUUGAAAGCGCUUCCAACUAGUUAAAAUGCACCCGAGGGUGCUGUACUUCAGAAGCGAUGUGGUCUAACUUCCCGUGGAACAGCAGCAGCCUUGACCCACUGCUCUACCCCUGCUCGUAAAGGAUGCAGGUUCCAGGGAGGAGCUUCACCUCCGCGGGCUGCCCAACGCCCUCACUGAGCUCAUCCACAUUCAGGUUCGAUGAUGUGCAGCACCCACAGCUGAGAGCAAAUUCUCUCUCAGUUAGCGAUUGCAUCUGGCUCUUAAUAGAGACCUGACUUCGUGGCCUAAACACGUGAGGGUUUAAUUGAUACAGUGCUUGUGCUCAUUCUGAGAUUUUAUAGAGUCAGCGUUCGAGCCCGGGGCCACCUGACUCCUAGGACAAGGCAAGCACUGCACCAUGCUGCCAGACCGAGCUUCCUGGAGCCUCGGUUUCUCUGCCUGUGACAGGGCUGGAGUCAUCUGCCUGCCUCAGGCGGCUGUUUUGAGAAUGAAAUGAGAUAUGGCAUAAA